Cyprinus carpio (common carp) is the source of this 2142-nucleotide RNA transcript. It is a transcript of the gene named breast cancer metastasis-suppressor 1 homolog, with no coding region annotated. The transcript is spliced from 12 exons. Lineage: Eukaryota; Metazoa; Chordata; Actinopteri; Cypriniformes; Cyprinidae. The record is from RefSeq and is a predicted model, not a curated record.
UGCGUUGAUUGGCUAGCGCCUCAAAACGGCAGUGUUUCAACAAACGUAUAAACGCUGAGGAAGUGGACUUGUCCGAUGUCAACUUGCCCUGAUAUGCAAAUUCUGUCGACAAUAUGUAAUAUUUUUCAUGACUUAAACAAUAAUUGACGAGAAGUGCUAUAAACAGUCAUGCCUGCUCAGCCGGCUGCCAGAGAACCAGAGGAGGAGAUGGAGACAGAGGCCGACCCGGAGGUUCCUCAAACUAACGGUGAGGUGGAGGAAGAGCGAGAGGGAGGAGAUGCAGAGGAGACAAUGGAGGAGAGCGGAGAGGAGCGGGACAGCGACCUUGAGGAGAGUGAACCAGAGGAGGAAGAGGAGGAAGAGGAAGAAAGUUCAGAAAUGGAUGAUGAAGAUUGUGAGAGAAGACGAUUACAGUGCCUAGAUGAAAUGUCUGACCUGGAAAAACAGUUCCUGGAGUUAAAAGACAAGCUUUUUCAAGAACGUCUGAACCAGGUUAAAAUGAAGCUGGACGAGGUUUUGACAGGAAAGGCAGGAGAGUACAGAGAACCAUUGGCAACACUGCAGCAGAACCUACAGCAGAGAACACAAGUUGCAGGUGUGUACAGAGAACUUUGUCUGCAAGUGGUCAGACACAAACAUGAAUGUGAAGUGCAAGGGGCCAGACAACAUCUAGAGAGUGAGAGGACACUCUUAUUUGAUGCCAUGAAAACAGAACUGCUGGAGAAGAUCCACAGACUGGAGGAGGACAAACAGAGUGACAUCACCUCAGAGUGGUGGAAUGAUGAAGUGAGGAUGAAGAAAUGUAAGAGAAGGAGUCUUCUGAUUCGCCCAGACAGGAAGAAGAAGGCAGCUCUUGUGUCAGGGCCAUACAUAGUGUAUAUGCUAAGAGACACUGACAUACUAGAGGACUGGACGACUAUCAAGAAGGCAAAAGCGGCACUGAUGCCUAUGAAGAAGAAAGCAGACACAUUCCUGGAAAAUUUAAGCACAAACUUUACCAUGGGUGGUACGUUGGAACGUAACAGGCUAAGACAGGCAGGUGCCCGUGCGAUGUGAAGGUGGGGCUCUCUUCUAUGAUGGAGAAAGAUUCUCCAAAGGCAGCAGUGUCGUUCUAGAAGUCAAUGACGACAGCCCGGCACAGGCCGUGCUAACAGGGAUCAGCACAGGAGAGGUCUGGUUCAAGCGCACAGAUGGCACCAAAACCAAAAUCUACGUCUCCCAACUUCAGAAAGGCAAAUACACCAUACGAAAAGCUUAGAGAAGAUAAUCGUUACACUUGGAGAGUGUGUGAACCUACCCUUUAAUAAUUAACAAAUAACACACACAUUUACCAACACCUUUAGAACAGCUUAUAACAAUCCAAUUUAAUGCUAUGCACUAGUAUUGAUCAGACCAGAGACUUUAUGUAUAGUGACUUAUGAUCUCAGAUAAAUUUUGCUUUUUUAUAUGCAUAUUUUAUUUUGACUAUAAUAAUAAGAGGGAUCUGGUUCCAGAACAACACUGUUGGCAUCAAGUAGGCAAUUUCUGGUGCAGCUAAAGUUCAUUCAUUAAUUCAAACACAACAUGGACUUACAAAGCCUGUUGACCAAAUGCUAAAAGACCAUAUGAAGUCUUUCUGUAUCAUAAUGCUUAUCACACUGUAUACAUUCAUAAUACUUCAUACUGACCUUAUAUGAAGUCUGAUACACACUCAGAUCAUUGUGCAUUUGUUUGUUUGUCAUUGUCAUUUAAAAUGAUUAUAAAAGUCCAUUUCAUGUACACUAAAGACACCACAGGGGCAAAAAGGACUGCACUCACACAUUGGCUCUUUUCUAUGUUGUGCUGCAACUGCUUCUUUAAACUGAUCUUGGGUCUGUUUUUAAUAGCCAAGGUUUGUAUAUUAAAAGGAAAAGCACUGUCUCUACCCAGAACACAAGAGAACACAAUCAAACACCUUGAAUUGUGAUUGCACUCAGAAUAACAAGAGAUGUAACUUUUUUCUUCAGUACAUUUUGAAAGACUGUUAUUGUAAUACAUAGUAUUUAUAGACAUCUGUAAAGUGAUCUGAAACAGAGGGUGCUUUUUAAAACUUAUUUAUGAAGUGUUCGAGAUGAUCAUGUAUUUAUAACAAGAAGCAUUAUUAAAAUCUAAACUUUUAUUACA